GACGAACGCUGGCGGCGCGCUUAACACAUGCAAGUCGAACGGAAAGGCCUGCUUUCCCUUGUGGAUUGCGGGUACUCGAGUGGCGAACGGGUGAGUAACACGUGAGUGAUCUGCCCCCAACUUGGGUAUAAGCCUGGGAAACUGGGUCUAAUUCCCGAUAGGACUGCAGGGUGGUGCCUGUGGUGGAAAACGAUUUUCUAGUGGUUGGGGAUGAGCUCGCGGCCUAUCAGCUUGUUGGUGGGGUAAUGGCCUACCAAGGCGGCGACGGGUAGCCGGCCUGGGAGGGUGGACGGCCACAUUGGGACUGAGAGACAGCCCAGACUCCUACGGGAGGCAGCAGUGGGGAAUAUUGCACAAUGGGCGGAAGCCUGAUGCAGCGACGCCGCGUGGGGGAUGACGGCCUUCGGGUUGUAAACUCCUUUCGACCGCGAGGAAGCCACCUGGUUGGAAGGGUGGUGACGGUAGUGGUAGAAGAAGCACCGGCUAACUACGUG
RNAcentral lists this ribosomal RNA (494 nucleotides) under uncultured bacterium. RNAcentral describes it as "partial 16S ribosomal RNA". It matches the Rfam family "Bacterial small subunit ribosomal RNA", at positions 28 to 507 of the family's 1533-position model. The record is from RNAcentral.